This 433-nucleotide ribosomal RNA is filed under the name uncultured bacterium. Its description in RNAcentral is "partial 16S ribosomal RNA". It matches the Rfam family "Bacterial small subunit ribosomal RNA", at positions 29 to 507 of the family's 1533-position model. The record is from RNAcentral.
AACGAACGCUGGCGGCAUGCUUAACACAUGCAAGUCGAACGAGACCUUCGGGUCUUGUGGCGCACGGGUGCUUAACACGUGGUAACUUGCACUUAGGUUCGGUAUAACUCCCUGAAAGGUGUGUUAAUACCGGUUAAUGUAAUCGGACCAAAGAUGUAUCGCUUUUGGAUGGGGCCUCGUUGGAUUAGCUGGUUGGUAGGGUACAAGCCUAUUAAUGCGACGAUGCAUAGCUGGUCUGAGAGGAUGAUCAGCCACACUGGGACUUAGACACGGCCCAGACUCCUACGGGAGGCAGCGGUAGUGAAUAUUAGAGGAUGGGCGAAAGCCUGAGCCAGCAAUGGCGCGUGAGGGAGGAAGGCCUUUGGGUUGUAAAUCUCUUUUACCCGGGAUGAUAAUGACAGUACCGGGAUAAUAAGCUCCGGCUAACUCCGUG